AUUGAACGCUGGCGGCAGGCCUAACACAUGCAAGUCGAGCGCGAAAGUUCUUCGGAAUGAGUAAAGCGGCGGACGGGUGAGUAAUACAUGGGAAUCUGCCUGGUAGUGGGGGACAACGUUUCGAAAGGAACGCUAAUACCGCAUACGCCCUACGGGGGAAAGGGGGAGAUCUUCGGACCUCUCGCUAUCAGAUGAGCCCA
Molecule: ribosomal RNA, 200 nt
Filed under: uncultured bacterium
Lineage: Bacteria
Description: partial 16S ribosomal RNA
Rfam family: Bacterial small subunit ribosomal RNA
Source: RNAcentral